CGCCUCUUGACUCUUAUAAGAGGUCCAGCCUGCCCAGUGACCAUGUUCAACGGCCGCGGUAUCCUAACCGUGCGAAGGUAGCGUAAUCACUUGUUCUUUAAAUGCGGACUAGUAUGAAUGGCACCACGAAGGUUAUACUGUCUCCUUUUUCUAAUCAGUGAAACUAAUCUCCCCGUGAAGAAGCGAGGAUAUAUCUAUAAGACGAGAAGACCCUAUGGAGCUUUAAACAACACAGCAAUUACCUGCUAAACUAAGAAGUUUCUGAACAUUUUCAAUCUUUUAAGUAAUCUGACUGCAAGUUUUUGGUUGGGGUGACCACGGAGCAUAACACAACCUCCAUGUUGAAAGAAUUCUUUCUAAGCCAAGAACAACCUUUCUAAGCAUCAAUAUAUUGACAUCCAUUGACCCAAUACAUUUGACCAACGAACCAAGUUACCCUAGGGAUAACAGCGCAAUCCACUUCAAGAGCUCCUAUCGACAAGUGGGUUUACGACCUCGAUGUUGGAUCAGGGUAUCCCAGUGGUGCAGCCGCUACUAAAGGUUCGUUUGUUCAACGAUUAAAACCCUA
RNAcentral lists this ribosomal RNA (568 nucleotides) under Rhinella marina (marine toad). RNAcentral describes it as "partial 16S ribosomal RNA". It matches the Rfam family "Bacterial large subunit ribosomal RNA", at positions 1829 to 2598 of the family's 2925-position model. The record is from RNAcentral. Lineage: Eukaryota; Metazoa; Chordata; Amphibia; Anura; Bufonidae.